Non-coding RNA from Pelobates cultripes (western spadefoot toad), 220 nucleotides. The record is from the annotation of a GenBank genome assembly. NCBI's taxonomy places the organism in Eukaryota, Metazoa, Chordata, Amphibia, Anura, Pelobatidae.
CAAAUGGUGUCCAGUUGCGGUCCUAGAUUCCUACCUUCAAAAUCCUUCCAGGAAUUAAAUACCGUAAUGCAUUUAAGGAAAUGUCUGGUUAAUUUGUAUAUAUUUGACUGUAUUAAAUCUUUGAUUAUUCAUUUUUGCCCUCUUUAUUUACAGGCCUACCGUAUCGUCGGUCUUGGCACACCACAACUGACUUGCUACCUUUAUACUAUCCUAUGCUUAU